This 1442-nucleotide long non-coding RNA is filed under the name Amborella trichopoda. Its description in RNAcentral is "long non-coding RNA (ATRI_LNC004605)". Lineage: Eukaryota; Viridiplantae; Streptophyta; Magnoliopsida; Amborellales; Amborellaceae. The record is from RNAcentral.
CAGGUAUUCUCCUAAACUUCUGUGUUGUUUUCCUCACACUCCUCAGGCCGUGUAUUUCUUGCAUUUCUCGGCAAUCAUUAGUAUAUAUUUGUAUUAGAUUGCUCGUAGAACCAUAAUCUAGACCAGAGUUGGAAUACUUGGUUGAGUCCACUUGGACUCAUCUGAAUCACUUGCGCUUGGACAGUAGUAUCCAGUCCAGUGUUGGAGUACUCGAUUGAGUCCACUUGGACACUUGUGAAUCACUCGGGCUCAGACCUGCCGCUGGGCCCAAAAUUAAUCAUACGGGCAGUGUUACCCUGACAUUUAGAUGGAGCUUGGUGUAGCACGUUGACACUUGCAGACACUAACCUCACACGUGAUUAUAUAUGUUGGGUGACAUUAUCAAUUAUGAGAUUGAUGUGGACACUUUAAAUAUAAGUGUCUUUCUUUUUAUAUCAUAAAAUUGUAGGGAACCUAGUAGAGCAUGUGUUUAUCUUCACCAAGGUUGUGGUUCUUAUUCCCACGGCUAGCAAUCUUUUUCCUUUUUAUUUUUGCCGCAAAGUUUUGAUUGUAAAAAUGCUUAAUAACACUAAGUGCACAUAGCAAGAAUGGAAUCUCCUCCAACUGCCCUUCAGUGCGUCACUUCUACCAUCACGCAAUUACUAGUUUCAUGAAAUGAAAAGAAAGAUCGAAUUAUAUACUGUUAAAAGUUGACACAUGGUCACAUCAAGAUUCAAACUCCUACUACCUGGAACUUUGCUCCAUCUUGUGAACUCUACUACCUCUCCAUUUGUAACGUUGUUGUCGUAAAUUGUAAAAUAAUGUUAUAUAUUAAUCAAAAUAUGUUGUUUUAUUUAUAAAAAAUAAAUGCAAAGAUGUGUCUAGCUGUACUGACUUUUUAGACCUAUGCAAUAGACUCUUGCAACACUUGUCAACACCAAAACCCAUGUCGGUGUCCAUGUAACGAUGCAUCUGGGAGCAGCUUUACUGGUUCUAAUGUUAUUAUUAUUAUUUUUUAUCCUUUUUUUUUUCUUUUUGGGAAGUCUGCUGAUGAACUCAACUGAGUCUGCCAAUCCUGACUCAUUGGACCCUAGUAAAUCCUUGUUAUCCCACACUGAUCUAGAGUAAUACCUGGAAAUGAUUUCACUAGUGUACACAUGUUGAGGCUUUAAACACACUCGCUCCCUCGUAGAUGCGCAUGAGCAUGCGCGAGGUGAUUUCAAUGGUUUUGCGAGUAUAAUUACAAGUAGACAUCUCCAAGCAUUUGUUUCUCCUUUCUUUGUGUAGUUCAGCAGCAGGAUUUGAACUUAGGACAUGGUGUUACAAUCAUCAAUACGUUGGCCUAUUAAAUCCAAGCCUGAAUCCUUGGCUUUGCUCUCUCUCUCUCUCUCUCUGACAUUCAUGUCAUUUUUAUGUCAGUAACCGGGUGGUGGACCUGAUUGAGCACAUGGCACUGGUGGCAG